AGAAUGAUAUAUUUUAUUAAUUAGUUUAUUUUCUUGUUCCGCAAGGGAAGGUUUCUUUCGUUUAUUUUUAAUUUUGUACCUUUUGAAUAAUGGUUAUACAAGUAGUUUCAUGAAUAUGAUUUCCCGAAAUAAGACGAUCUAAAAAUCCUAUGUUUUGGACACAACUUAGGUUUUGUUGAAAUAAGGCCUAAAUUAAGGAUUUUUAGGGAUGAAAUGUCUGUCAAGUCUUAUGAUAUCUGGAAUCCCUUUAAAAGUAUUUAGUACUUAGAAAACAGUUUUAAGGUGUCGAGAUCUUAAAAAUAAAGAAUAAUUAGUAAAAAUUUUAGUUUCUUGGAAUAAGCCCCUAGAAAGUUAACUUAUAAAAUCAUUUAUGAUAAACUAUAUCUUUGUUGUUAAAGGGAGAAUAGAAUUAAUUUAAAUUUUAUUUCAUCCUGUAUAAAUUAGUAAUAAAUUAAAUAAAUAUAUCAUUGAUUUUGGUAUAUUAUAAAUUUUAAUUAAAUUUAAAGAAGGAACUCGGCAAAUAUUACUUUCACCUGUUUAACAAAAACAUAGCCUAAAGCUUGAUUUUAGGUUUAGCCUGCCCAGUGUGGCUUAUCAACGGCCGCGGUACUUUGACCGUGCUAAGGUAGCAUAAUCAGUUGACUUUUAAUUGAAGUCUGGAAUGAACGGAUAAAUGGGGGUAGACUGUCUCCGUUAAACUUUAUUGAACUUACUUUUGAGGUGAAAAAGCCUUAACUAAAGAAAAAGACGAGAAGACCCUAGGAGCUUUAUAAUAAUUUUGUUGGGGCGACAAAGGAAAAUAUUGAUCUUCCUUUAAUAACUUAUUUUACAAGACGAAUGUUUAAGAAAGGUUAAGCUACCCUAGGGAUAACAGCAUAAUUUAUUAAAUAAGAUUGUGACCUCGAUGUUGGACUAGGAAUUAGAUAGGUGAGCAACCUUUCUUAACGGUUCUGUUCGAACUUUGUCUCCUACAUGAUCUGAGUUCAGACCGGCGUAAGCCAGGUCAGAUUCUAUCUUUUUAAUAUUAGUACUUUAGUACGAAAGGACCAAGUGCAAUUU
This 1059-nucleotide ribosomal RNA is filed under the name Hydatina physis. RNAcentral's name for it is "large subunit ribosomal RNA". The stretch from base 489 to 734 matches the Rfam family "Archaeal large subunit ribosomal RNA", at positions 1784 to 2143 of the family's 2987-position model. Lineage: Eukaryota; Metazoa; Mollusca; Gastropoda; Aplustridae. The record is from RNAcentral.